UCUACAUGAUCCAUUGUCGUGGGAUGGUU
RNAcentral lists this non-coding RNA (29 nucleotides) under Rattus norvegicus (Norway rat). Lineage: Eukaryota; Metazoa; Chordata; Mammalia; Rodentia; Muridae. The record is from RNAcentral.